UUUUUUUUCUUUUUUUUUUUGUCGUUCAUUUUAUUUUUUUCGCUCGUUUCUAAUUCGUCGUUACACACGUUCGGAGCUCCGCCGCGCUCCAGCCAUAGCCUAGGCAUCGCGCGCAUAGAGACGUAGUAGAUCUGUGACAUAGGCAAGCAUACGAACACGGUCGUGUACAGGAAAUGAGCGCGAGAUCGAAAUAAAUUCCUAUCCAUCUCGAUAUCGAAGUGGAGUAGGAUAUUUUUACGUUCAUGGUCCGCACAGCUGAUGGGAACGUCCACGCGCAGCGGAAAGAAAGAGAGAAAAUACCGAAGGAAGAGAAAAAAAGGAACAAUUAAGAUAUACGUAUAUUGCAGUCAUACUUUAUUUAUGAGCAACGAAACCACAGACGCUAACCCAACCCGAGAACUGUGCUACUACUUUGCUCUAUGAGUCCGCAAGAACCCUGUACUGCAUGUUAGAAUAAGGGGGACAGCGAAUGAACUUUGUACCCGCAGAGCGGAGAGUCGGAGAGAUAAAUACAUUAAAAUAAACUUUGAUUUAAUCACCUUUGAUUAAUCGAGUUCUUCUCUCUCCAAUUAAUGGGACAAAUCGAGGAUAGGAGAAAACGGAAUGGAAUGUAAAUACAAGAAACGUGCGACAAGAUCGACAAAUAAUUCACGUGCUGUAUCGAACAAAACUGUGAAUAAAAAAUGCAAUUAAAUUAA
Athalia rosae (coleseed sawfly) is the source of this 698-nucleotide long non-coding RNA. RefSeq lists it as uncharacterized. The record is from RefSeq and is a predicted model, not a curated record. The transcript is spliced from 2 exons. Lineage: Eukaryota; Metazoa; Arthropoda; Insecta; Hymenoptera; Athaliidae.